UACGUAGGGCGCAAGCGUUAUCCGGAAUUAUUGGGCGUAAAGAGCUCGUAGGCGGUUUUGUCGCGUCUGCCGUGAAAGUCCGGGGCUCAACUCCGGAUCUGCGGUGGGUACGGGCAGACUAGAGUGAUGUAGGGGAGACUGGAAUUCCUGGUGUAGCGGUGAAAUGCGCAGAUAUCAGGAGGAACACCGAUGGCGAAGGCAGGUCUCUGGGCAUUAACUGACGCUGAGGAGCGAAAGCAUGGGGGAGCGAACAGG
This 255-nucleotide ribosomal RNA is filed under the name uncultured bacterium. RNAcentral's name for it is "partial 16S ribosomal RNA". It matches the Rfam family "Bacterial small subunit ribosomal RNA", at positions 524 to 776 of the family's 1533-position model. The record is from RNAcentral.